UCGAACGGUUAAAGCACUUUCGGGUGUGUAUAGAGUGGCGAACGGCUGAGUAACACGUGGGCAACCUGCCCUUUGCAUCGGGACAGCCUCGGGAAACCGUGGUUAAUACCGGAUACUCCAUCUUUCUCACAUGAAAAAGAUGGGAAAGUGUUUAGCGGCAAGGGAUGGGCCCGCGCCCUGUUAGCUUGUUGGUGGGGUAAAAGCCUACCAAGGCAAUGAUGGGUAGCCGGGUUGAGAGACCGACCGGCCAGAUUGGGACUGAGACACGGCCCAGACUCCUACGGGAGGCAGCAGUGGGGAAUCUUGCACAAUGGGCGAAAGCCUGAUGCAGCGACGCCGCGUGCGGGAUGAAGGCCUUCGGGUUGUAAACCGCUUUCAGCAGGGACGAGGCGAAAGUGACGGUACCUGCAGAAGAAGCCCCGGCUAACUACGUGCCAGCAGCCGCGGUAAUACGUAGGGGGCAAGCGUUAUCCGGAUUCAUUGGGCGUAAAGCGCGCGUAGGCUGCCCAGUAGGUCGAGAGUUAAAUCCGGGGGCUCAACCCCCGUCCGCUCCCAAUACCGCUGGGCUUCGAGUCUGGUAGGGGAAGGUGGAAUUCCCAGUGUAGCGGUGGAAUGCGCAGAUAUUGGGAAGAACACCGGUGGCGAAGGCGGCCUUCUGGGCCAUGACUGACGCUGAGGCGCGAAAGCUAGGGGAGCGAACAGGAUU
This 706-nucleotide ribosomal RNA is filed under the name uncultured Olsenella sp. RNAcentral describes it as "bacterial SSU rRNA". It matches the Rfam family "Bacterial small subunit ribosomal RNA", at positions 62 to 779 of the family's 1533-position model. Lineage: Bacteria; Bacillati; Actinomycetota; Coriobacteriia; Coriobacteriales; Atopobiaceae. The record is from RNAcentral.